Molecule: ribosomal RNA, 370 nt
Filed under: uncultured bacterium
Lineage: Bacteria
Description: bacterial SSU rRNA
Rfam family: Bacterial small subunit ribosomal RNA
Source: RNAcentral
AGCGAACGCUGGCGGCAGGCUUAACACAUGCAAGUCGAACGGGCGUAGCAAUACGUCAGUGGCAGACGGGUGAGUAACGCGUGGGAACGUACCUUUUGGUUCGGAACAACACAGGGAAACUUGUGCUAAUACCGGAUAAGCCCCUUACGGGGAAAGAUUUAUCGCCGAAAGAUCGGCCCGCGUCUGAUUAGCUAGUUGGUGAGGUAACGGCUCACCAAGGCGACGAUCAGUAGCUGGUCUGAGAGGAUGAUCAGCCACAUUGGGACUGAGACACGGCCCAAACUCCUACGGGAGGCAGCAGUGGGGAAUAUUGGACAAUGGGCGCAAGCCUGAUCCAGCCAUGCCGCGUGAGUGAUGAAGGCCCUAGGGU